This is a non-coding RNA of Pelecanus crispus (Dalmatian pelican), 717 nucleotides long. NCBI's taxonomy places the organism in Eukaryota, Metazoa, Chordata, Aves, Pelecaniformes, Pelecanidae. The record is from RefSeq and is a predicted model, not a curated record.
GCUCAUUGUGGAGUAUUCCAACAAUCACAUAUAACGGAGAACAGCUUAGCUGACAGCUUGAUAUGCGCUUUUUUUUUUUUCCCCUACUGUAUGACGUACUGGUCUGUAGUAAAGAUUAAUAACUAAGAAAUGUAGAGCUAGGAUCAGAUCUUACGCUAUAUGCUGCCCUGUAAACUAUGUUUUACUUCUGACUUUUCUGCUUGCUGAAAACAUUAAUCUGUCAAGCUGGCGGGCUCCUUUGAUACCAACUUUCCCAGGAACACGAUGUGGCAAUGCCACCUCUCAGCCCAGGACUACCGCUAUUAUCCAGUGGAUGGUUAUUCGUUGCUUAAACGCCUCCCUCUUCACCCUCCUACAGGACCCCGAUGCCCUGUCCAGACAGUGGGACAAUGGCUGGAAAAUAUUGGGCUACCUCAGUAUGAAAACCACUUGCUGGCUAAUGGAUUUGACAAUGUGCAAUUUAUGGGAAGCAAUGUAAUGGAGGACCAGGAUCUCUUGGAAAUAGGAAUCCUUAACUCUGGACACAGACAGAGAAUACUCCAAGCAAUCCAGCUUCUCCCAAAGAUGAAGCAGAUCGGUCACGAUGGCUACAACCCCACCUCUGUAGCUGAAUGGCUGGAUUCCAUUGAACUGGGUGACUAUACCAAAUCCUUUCUAAUUAAUGGCUAUACAUCGAUGGACCUUGUGAAAAAAAUCUGGGAGAUUGAAUUAAUUAAU